This 68-nucleotide transfer RNA is filed under the name Aconurella montana. RNAcentral's name for it is "tRNA-Leu". The record is from RNAcentral. Lineage: Eukaryota; Metazoa; Arthropoda; Insecta; Hemiptera; Cicadellidae.
AGUGAUUUGGCAGAUUAGUGCAUUAAAUUUAGAAUUUAAUUAAGUAUAAAUGAUAUAUACAUUCAUUA